RNAcentral lists this small RNA (163 nucleotides) under Gopherus agassizii (Agassiz's desert tortoise). RNAcentral's name for it is "TUC338 (ENSGAGG00000019418.1)". Lineage: Eukaryota; Metazoa; Chordata; Testudines; Testudinidae. The record is from RNAcentral.
UAACAAUGGUAGCAGGUGAAGUUCUAUUAUAUAUCCAAAGACCAGGACAAUGGGACUGCAAGUUCCCCACUCUGCCCUACUAUUGUGCCUCUGCACUGACCUGGUGGGAUCAUCUCUAGGGCUGAAGGCAGUUCACUCUCCAUCAAUGUUCCCUCUAAUUUUU